UCCUCGACCGCUUUUCUCUGAACAGUUUGGGUACGUGUGCCCCCGCAUUCUCUUCGGCCGGCUAUGUAUAGAUGAGCGACCCCCUGCUACCCAAUUCCAACACUCAGGCAACCCAGCUUUGGCUGCCCUUGCUUGCUGCUCAGUUCUUUGCCCCCUGUUCCUCCUCCUCCUCUUUUCGCACCUCGGCGCCUGCUUCGGCAUCAACUGCGACCGAGAUGGAGGCGCAAGACGACUGCAAGUGGCGCCAAGUCCCGGCGUUCGGCGACUGGAACCUGUGGGACGACAUGCCCGUCACCCAGUACUUUCAGGCAGGGACCUUCUUCUUCGCCGCGCCGACGACAGAGAAGGACGACGACGAGGAUCUCUUCAAGGUGCCCCAGUUCCCUGCCACGCCCUACAGCUACAAGAAGUGCGUUGUUCGAGUGAAGGGGGAGAAAGGAACUGCUGUGCCUCCGGCGGCGAGGAAGGGAGGAAGGAGGCGCCGCGUGAACGAGCAACAGAAGUGGAAGCCCAAGGGAGCUGUGGACGAGGACCUCUACAAGAUAUCCCCGCAGCUUCUCUGCAAGGUGAAGAAGAAGAAGCUCCUGAGGAAUCUGCUGGGAGGGUGCCUGGGCCUGAGCUGCAUCGCAUGACCGAGAGACGCAUCGCUUAAUAAGUUUCUGGGGAGUUUGUUGUUCGGUGGGUGCUCUGGAGAGUUGUAUAGUGUCUACGCUAAUAUGGAAUCAAUGGAAACUUACUGCUGCUUUUGCACUCUUUUGAAUGUAAACACUAGCUCGCAUUCCAUCUCUCUUGGUGUUGUUUUGGUGACUCACUUU
Molecule: unclassified non-coding RNA, 815 nt
Filed under: Zea mays
Lineage: Eukaryota; Viridiplantae; Streptophyta; Magnoliopsida; Poales; Poaceae
Description: misc RNA Zm00001eb364950
Source: RNAcentral